This 524-nucleotide ribosomal RNA is filed under the name uncultured bacterium. RNAcentral's name for it is "partial 16S ribosomal RNA". It matches the Rfam family "Bacterial small subunit ribosomal RNA", at positions 28 to 523 of the family's 1533-position model. The record is from RNAcentral.
GACGAACGCUGGCGGCGUGCCUAAUACAUGCAAGUCGAACGAAGCUGUUUUAACUGGUGCUUGCACCGACUUAAACAACUGAGUGGCGAACGGGUGAGUAACACGUGGGUAACCUGCCCCAAAGCGGGGGAUAACAUUUGGAAACAGAUGCUAAUACCGCAUAAUCACAGAAACCACAUGGUUUCUGUGUCAAAGAUGGUUUCGGCUAUCACUUUGGGAUGGACCCGCGGCGUAUUAGCUAGUUGGUAAGGUAAUGGAUUACCAAGGCAAUGAUACGGAGCCGAACUGAGAGGUUGAUCGGCCACAAUGGGACUGAGACACGGCCCAUAAUCCUACGGGAGGCAGCAGUAGGGAAUCUUCCACAAUGGGCGCAAGCCUGAUGGAGCAACACCGCGUGAGUGAAGAAGGGUUUCGGCUCGUAAAACUCUGUUGUUAAAGAAGAACGUAUCUAAGAGUAACUGCUUAGGUAGUGACGGUAUUUAACCAGAAAGCCACGGCUAACUACGUGCCAGCCGCCGCCGUAA